CUCUCCUCCUUGAUCAGACCUGAGCCAGAUGGGCCAGCGGUCCACCUGCACACAAAUCACUGACAAAACGUAACACGUUGCCAUGAGCUGCCAUUACCUUGAAGCAAGUGUGCCUCAUCCCCAGGGCCAGAUGCACCACCAUCUGCAGUAAUGAACCUGGUUCUCUUUGCAAAGAGAGAUCCUAUAACCAGGACUGAGACCGAAUUUCUCAGUCGUCAAGUUGGUGAAGAUUUGCCGCUGGAUUCAUUUGAAAGAGAAAAAAAGAAGGGAUGCAAC
Molecule: long non-coding RNA, 276 nt
Filed under: Mustela putorius furo (domestic ferret)
Lineage: Eukaryota; Metazoa; Chordata; Mammalia; Carnivora; Mustelidae
Description: lncRNA (ENSMPUG00000028795.1)
Source: RNAcentral